Ctenopharyngodon idella (grass carp) is the source of this 1108-nucleotide long non-coding RNA. RefSeq lists it as uncharacterized. Lineage: Eukaryota; Metazoa; Chordata; Actinopteri; Cypriniformes; Xenocyprididae. The transcript is spliced from 3 exons. The record is from RefSeq and is a predicted model, not a curated record.
AGCCGUUGAAAAACAGAGUUGCGACACUCCCAUAGACCUCCAUAGGAACUUUGGAAUGCGGAAGUAACGCGUGUCGUGGAGCAGCCGAUAGUUCCAAACACUGAUAGUUCCAGCACUGAACCCCAUUCAUUUUCAGUGACUCUGAAGUUCGCUCGCUGGUCUGUCCAGCAGCAACAGGCUUGACUCAACUCCAGACCCGGCCUCCUCUGGGCUCUGACACAGGCUGUUUCCACCUGAAGUUAACAUGCAUUUUGGUCGAUCGGAUCAUAAGUGGACGACGGAGACACAUACAUGUUUACACCUGGUGUUUUAAUCCAUCUGUUUUGUCCUCUUUCAACCACUUCUGUCCUGAUUUCUUUGAGGGGGUGGGUAAAUGUAUGGGUUUUUACAGAUCUUUCAAUCUAAUGGACAAAAUAAGCUUAAGCAGUUUACAUAUGAACGCACCCAGAGAUGACAGGAAAACAUAUUGAGAGCAUCAGUGUUCGCUUCUGCUCUGACAGCCGUGAGACCAGCCGAAUGCUGUGAGUGUGUGUUAGAAAUCAGGAAUGGUGAGAGAACAUUGUGCUUGGUACGUUUUUCAUCUUUGAACCAAACUUUGGUCUUCAGCCAACAAAGUUUAAAUCCUGUCUGGCUCGAGUGCUUCCCAUAAUGUUUACACAUUAGGUCAGUAGAUGGAGAGUAGAGUAAACAUGAGCGUUUACACUACGAAAGCAGUCCGGUCGAAUGCAUUUGAGUCUACUUCUGGAAGUGGUUGAAAGUGGAUAAACUUAAACCGUUUUAGACCCUGUUUACACCUGUAUUUAAUGUUGUCCACUUGUGAUCCGAUCAGCCAAAACGCAUCUUAAUACCAGGUGGAAACAGGCCCACAGUCUGCUUCUGGCAGUGGAAUGCUCUCACCCAAAAAUUCAACAGGUCUCCAGAUCAUCCUACAGCUGCGCUGGAAGAAUGUAAUGGAUAUUGUGAACACUUAUAUUCCUUUUCUGGCCUGCUUUCUGCCAUCUUUCUCUCCCUGUAGGAAGUCAAAUGAGUUUCUUUGAAGACAGAACAUUCAAGGAAAAUUUACCUACCCUCUCCCUGGAUAUAAUAUAUAAUUAAAUGUUUUGUUGAA